CACAAUAAAAUAUGAAGGCUGUACGCGGCUGUGCUCUCGGGCCAGUUUUGCGGAGGCUGAAUUAUUUAUUACCCUUGUCUUUUGCGGCACUUGUUGUUUCCUGGGCGGGUUCGCCCGCCACCAGGACCACAUCAUAAACCUUUUUUAUGCAGUUGCAAUCAGCGUCAGUAUAACAAAUGUAAAUCAUUUA
RNAcentral lists this unclassified non-coding RNA (190 nucleotides) under soil metagenome. RNAcentral describes it as "partial internal transcribed spacer 1". The record is from RNAcentral.